AGCUUGUUCAGAGGAGCUCAGCUCUGGGGGAGAGCUCAAAGCCGACACCUAUUGAGUUGCAGUUAAAAUGAGGGCGAAAAAGGCUUUUGUUUCAGUUCUGCAGAUGGUCUGGGAGUUUGUGUUUCUUAGCAAGAAUUUUCUAGACGUUUUGGCUUGAACCAUCUGAAAAACUGCCUCAAGCUUUUGCAUGGUUCCCACUGGGUGGGCUGGGUUGGGAGGGGCUGUCGUGCAUGGUCCGGGAAAGCUGGAGAAGGCUGUUCCUUCACCCCGAGCCUUGGAUUUCUUAUCUGUGAAAUGGGAGGCUGCAAUGAUGAAUGGCAAAGUACCUUUUUUUUUCAGCUCUGAAAGUCUAGGAUAUUUUGCCACUGGAAGACCAGCAGACAAUGUCAUGACAACUCAAGAGGAUACAACAGGGCUGCAUCAAAAGACAAGUCUUUGGACCAUGUCAAGACCUGGAGCGAAGAAGGUUUCAGUAUCAACCUGACUUCUUUUGGAAGGAUCCCUUGGCCUCACGCUGGAGUGGGCACCUGCCCUAGCCCACAGAGCUGGAUUUCUCCCUUUCUUCAAU
This 568-nucleotide long non-coding RNA is filed under the name Homo sapiens (human). RNAcentral describes it as "non-protein coding lnc-PRR14L-5:3". Lineage: Eukaryota; Metazoa; Chordata; Mammalia; Primates; Hominidae. The record is from RNAcentral.